CCUACGGGAGGCUGCAGUGAGGAAUAUUGGUCAAUGGACGAGAGUCUGAACCAGCCAAGUAGCGUGAAGGAUGACUGCCCUAUGGGUUGUAAACUUCUUUUAUAAAGGAAUAAAACGAGGCACGUGUGCCUUUUUGCAUGUACUUUAUGAAUAAGGAUCGGCUAACUCCGUGCCAGCAGCCGCGGUAAUACGGAGGAUCCGAGCGUUAUCCGGAUUUAUUGGGUUUAAAGGGAGCGUAGAUGGGUUGUUAAGUCAGUUGUGAAAGUUUGCGGCUCAACCGUAAAAUUGCAAUUGAUACUGGAAGUCUUGAGUACAGUUGAGGUAGGCGGAAUUCGUGGUGUAGCGGUGAAAUGCUUAGAUAUCACGAAGAACCCCGAUUGCGAAGGCAGCUUACUAAACUGUGACUGACAUUGAUGCUCGAAAGUGUGGGUAUCAAACAGGAUUAGAUACCCGGGUAGUC
This 460-nucleotide ribosomal RNA is filed under the name uncultured bacterium. RNAcentral describes it as "partial 16S ribosomal RNA". It matches the Rfam family "Bacterial small subunit ribosomal RNA", at positions 338 to 795 of the family's 1533-position model. The record is from RNAcentral.